GCUUACGGCCAUACUACCUUCAAUGCGCCCGAUCUCGUCUGAUCUCGGAAGCUAAGCAGGGUGGCCGGUAGUACUUAUGGGACCGCCUGGGAAUACCAGGUGCUGUAAGUU
Molecule: ribosomal RNA, 111 nt
Filed under: Larimichthys crocea (large yellow croaker)
Lineage: Eukaryota; Metazoa; Chordata; Actinopteri; Sciaenidae
Source: RNAcentral